GGCUUUAUAACUGAGUUGAUGAGAGCAUUGUACCGGCAUUGCAAGGUCAUGGGUUCGAAUCCCGUUCAAACCU
Molecule: non-coding RNA, 73 nt
Organism: Desmophyllum pertusum
Lineage: Eukaryota; Metazoa; Cnidaria; Anthozoa; Scleractinia; Caryophylliidae
Source: the annotation of a GenBank genome assembly